UACGGAGGAUCCGAGCGUUAUCCGGAUUUAUUGGGUUUAGAGGGUGCGCAGGCGGGAGAUUAAGUCGGCGGUGAAAUUUUGCAGCUCAACUGUAAAAGUGCCUUCGAUACUGGUUUCCUUGAGUGUGGAUGAAGUAGGCGGAAUUUGUGGUGUAGCGGUGAAAUGCUUAGAUAUCACGAGGAACUCCGAUUGCGCAGGCAGCUUACUAAACCACUACUGACGCUCAGGCACGAAGGCGUGGGGAUCAAACAGGAUUAGAUACCCGGGUA
RNAcentral lists this ribosomal RNA (269 nucleotides) under uncultured prokaryote. RNAcentral describes it as "partial 16S ribosomal RNA". It matches the Rfam family "Bacterial small subunit ribosomal RNA", at positions 524 to 792 of the family's 1533-position model. The record is from RNAcentral.